This 207-nucleotide ribosomal RNA is filed under the name uncultured bacterium. RNAcentral's name for it is "partial 16S ribosomal RNA". It matches the Rfam family "Bacterial small subunit ribosomal RNA", at positions 568 to 774 of the family's 1533-position model. The record is from RNAcentral.
UCUGUAGGUGGUUUAAUAAGUCAACUGUUAGAUCUUGAGGCUCAACCUCAAAAUCGCAGUCGAAACUAUUAGACUAGAGUAUAGUAGGGGUAAAGGGAAUUUCCAGUGGAGCGGUGAAAUGCGUAGAUAUUGGAAGGAACACCGAUGGCGAAGGCACUUUACUGGGCUAUUACUAACACUCAGAGACGAAAGCUAGGGUAGCAAAUG